Molecule: ribosomal RNA, 460 nt
Filed under: uncultured Methylomirabilota bacterium
Lineage: Bacteria; Methylomirabilota (SeqCode)
Description: bacterial SSU rRNA
Rfam family: Bacterial small subunit ribosomal RNA
Source: RNAcentral
GGGCUUGACAUCCCACGAACCUGCCUGAAAGGGCGGGGUGCCCGUAAGGGAGCGUGGAGACAGGUGGUGCAUGGCUGUCGUCAGCUCGUGUCGUGAGAUGUUGGGUUAAGUCCCGCAACGAGCGCAACCCUCACCCCUAGUUGCCACCGGGUAAAGCCGAGCACUCGAGGGGAACUGCCAGCGUCAAGCUGGAGGAAGGCGGGGAUGACGUCAAGUCAUCAUGCCCCUUACGUCCUGGGCUACACACGUGCUACAAUGGCCGGUACAAAGGGACGCGAGACUGCAAAGUGGAGCUAAUCCCAAAAAACCGGUCUAAGUUCAGAUUGCAGUCUGCAACUCGACUGCAUGAAGGAGGAAUCGCUAGUAAUCGCGCAUCAGCACGGCGCGGUGAAUACGUUCCCGGGCCUUGUACACACCGCCCGUCACACCACGAAAGUCAGCUGUACUCGAAGUCGCUGAG